GCAAAGAGUUAAUGCACUCAGCUGCUAACUGAAAGGCUGGUGGUUCAAGUCCACC
RNAcentral lists this transfer RNA (55 nucleotides) under Loxodonta africana (African savanna elephant). It matches the Rfam family "tRNA", at positions 10 to 63 of the family's 71-position model. Rfam says of the family: Transfer RNA (tRNA) molecules are approximately 80 nucleotides in length. Their secondary structure includes four short double-helical elements and three loops (D, anti-codon, and T loops). The record is from Rfam by way of RNAcentral. Lineage: Eukaryota; Metazoa; Chordata; Mammalia; Proboscidea; Elephantidae.